UGGGGAAUAUUGCACAAUGGGCGCAAGCCUGAUGCAGCCAUGCCGCGUGUAUGAAGAAGGCCUUCGGGUUGUAAAGUACUUUCAGCGGGGAGGAAGGCGAUAAGGUUAAUAACCUUGUCGAUUGACGUUACCCGCAGAAGACGCACCGGCUAACUCCGUGCCAGCAGCCGCGGUAAUACGGAGGGUGCAAGCGUUAAUCGGAAUUACUGGGCGUAAAGCGCACGCAGGCGGUCUGUCAAGUCGGAUGUGAAAUCCCCGGGCUCAACCUGGGAACUGCAUUCGAAACUGGCAGGCUAGAGUCUUGUAGAGGGGGGUAGAAUUCCAGGUGUAGCGGUGAAAUGCGUAGAGAUCUGGAGGAAUACCGGUGGCGAAGGCGGCCCCCUGGACAAAGACUGACGCUCAGGUGCGAAAGCGUGGGGAGCAAACA
Molecule: ribosomal RNA, 427 nt
Filed under: uncultured bacterium
Lineage: Bacteria
Description: partial 16S ribosomal RNA
Rfam family: Bacterial small subunit ribosomal RNA
Source: RNAcentral